GUGACAAAACGGUGAAAACCUGAGGCCAGGUCGUUGCUGUCAGAUGGGGACGGAGUCCUGCAGCAGUCAGAGGUGACAGAACACACUGAUGCUGCUACCAGGAAGCUCGAGAGAAAUGUGACUGAGUGAUACAGUGCGCAUGUGCCUAUGGAGAAAGGAGGCUAUCUGUGAGCUCUAGCAGUGCUUUUCUCUGCCCAGCAACAUCUCUGCUUCUUUCCUACGUUCUGCUUAAGCAGCUGUUCUGCAUUUAUGAUCUGAUCUGCACGCUGAGUCAACGUCGCUGUAACGACAUGGAUGGAGGGCAGAGGUCCGCAGGUUUGCUUUGAGGAAGCCCCAUAAACAGGGUAAUAGCACCAGAGUUACUGUUCUCUUGAACUAAAGGGAGAGAAAGUAAGCUGCCAAUCAAAAAGAACAUCUCGUGGCACAGGCAGAUGUUUCUGAUGGCGAUGCCGGAGCCAGCAGAACCCCUGCAGCAGUGCAGCCCCAUGGUGCUGGAGGCCCUUCCAGACUGGAGGUGUGGCGGUGGUCUGCAUGUCAGCAGAGCAGUCCCAGCAGCGUUCAGCAUGGAUGAGCCUGGUGCAGCACAUCACAGCUCAGAUGGGUUCUCCCAGGCGGCUGUGCAGCACAGAGCUAAUACAUGGAAUACAGGCUCAGCACCGUGAGUCAGCACUGCCGGAGCCCAGACUUGUUUGCAGCAGCAGCGAGGCGGUGCGGGAGGUGUGGGCUGCGGGAGCCCUUCUGCCCAAACGCCAUCCGGGAUGAAAUGGGGCUAACAGGGAGCAAAAGGCUGAACGGUGCUCGUGGACUCGUUCUGCACCGACCUGCCAGUCUGCAGGCCCCAAAAAUACAGGCACGGCCCAAAGGUUUCUAUUCAGGGCUCAGCAGUGGAAUAAGGAACAUGAGCCGUGGGAUAUCCCGUGUCACCGCAGGCUGCUCAGCCUGGAAGGGGCUGGUGGCAAAGGGAGGAAACGUCAGAAACGCCAUGGACUAUUUUAGAUCUGCAACCUCAGUUCUGCAAAGGUAUUUAUUUUGAAAAUUCUGGUUUCCAUAGCAAUGUAGUGCUGCUCUCUCUCGUCUCCCUUCUAUUAGCCCAAUCUUCCCAGCCAUUAGAUAAAUUAUCAGUGAAGCCAAGCUUAGCGUUUUUUAUCUGGAGUGAUUUUUGGUCUGGCUGUUCCUCGGUGAAUCAGAGGCAGGCAGGGAUUGCUCACAUCCUUUCCCGGGGCAGACAGGAGCUGCGCUGCAGUCUGAGCAGAGCAACGCAGAGUGCUGCUGACUGCACUUG
This 1282-nucleotide long non-coding RNA is filed under the name Gallus gallus (chicken). RNAcentral describes it as "long non-coding RNA NONGGAT003504". Lineage: Eukaryota; Metazoa; Chordata; Aves; Galliformes; Phasianidae. The record is from RNAcentral.